UUUGGUGUGGCAGAGCCAAGGUAAAUGCAAGAGACUUAAACCCUCUUACCAGACGUUCAAGCCGUCUCACCAAAA
Molecule: transfer RNA, 75 nt
Filed under: Draco maculatus
Lineage: Eukaryota; Metazoa; Chordata; Lepidosauria; Squamata; Agamidae
Description: tRNA-Leu
Rfam family: tRNA
About the family: Transfer RNA (tRNA) molecules are approximately 80 nucleotides in length. Their secondary structure includes four short double-helical elements and three loops (D, anti-codon, and T loops). Further hydrogen bonds mediate the characteristic L-shaped molecular structure. tRNAs have two regions of fundamental functional importance: the anti-codon, which is responsible for specific mRNA codon recognition, and the 3' end, to which the tRNAs corresponding amino acid is attached (by aminoacyl-tRNA synthetases). tRNAs cope with the degeneracy of the genetic code in two manners: having more than one tRNA (with a specific anti-codon) for a particular amino acid; and 'wobble' base-pairing, i.e. permitting non-standard base-pairing at the 3rd anti-codon position.
Source: RNAcentral